Non-coding RNA from Camellia sinensis, 437 nucleotides. The record is from RefSeq and is a predicted model, not a curated record. NCBI's taxonomy places the organism in Eukaryota, Viridiplantae, Streptophyta, Magnoliopsida, Ericales, Theaceae.
CUUUAUUAUAGUUUUAUUGGUUAUGAGUAUUACCAAAUUAUAUAAGUCCAUCCUUAUAAUUUUUAAUUUUUUUUGAAAAUUAUAUUACUUGAAUGGCGGGCCUUCCUACAUGCGUGGCGUUAUGUUUACCGAACCUAAUAAACCUCUCUCUAUUGAAGAGUUCCACAUGCCUCGCCCCAAGGCUGGUGAAGUUCUCAUCAAAACCAAGGGUUUCUUGGGAAUAAUAAAUUAGCCGGUACCCUUCCUGCCCAAAUGAGUACAUCUCUCCUGAAUAUUAAUUUAGUGGCCAACAACUUCACAAUGGAAAGUUCAAACAACAGGUGAUCUUUGAGACAUCAAGAUUAGCUACAAUUGUUAAUGGGGUUUUAAGGAAGACUACGCAAGACAUCAAGAUUAGCUACAAUUGUUAAUGGGGUUUCAAAUGACAAUGAAGGAUG